Molecule: long non-coding RNA, 238 nt
Filed under: Lathyrus oleraceus (garden pea)
Lineage: Eukaryota; Viridiplantae; Streptophyta; Magnoliopsida; Fabales; Fabaceae
Description: Pisum sativum (pea) long non-coding RNA (PSAT_LNC023935)
Source: RNAcentral
AAUUUUGCUUGAUUAGGAAAGAUGUGGCUGGACUUUUACUAGGAUGGGCUGUUAUGAUGAUUUUCUUCAAAGAGAGGAACCAAGUGAUAUGAAUCAAGGUUAGCUUUGGACCAUUUAUAUUUGUUUUGUUUAUUUGUUUUAAGUAUUUAUAUUUUAAGUACUUUUCUAUGUUAUGUUAUGACAUUUGUUAUGUUAAACUUCCUAGCUUUUAUUCUUUGUUGCAAGUUAUGCUUUCUUG